AAAACUUUCAGGAGGAUUGAUAAUGAUUAAUGGUGCUGAGAAAUUUGUUUCAAUCAUCCUGGAAUGGUAAGGUAAUUUUCGGACGCUUUUCUGCUUGUACUUUUCUCCUCUUCCUCUCUGAGCAGUACUUUCACAUUUAAUUUUCAGUUUAUUGCAUCAGACUCAUAAAACUAACUUUUGUAACAUAAAAGUUUAUUUUAAUUAUGCCUAUAUAUCACUGGCAAACGUGAGUCCUAUGAAUACCCAUCUAUACUUUCUGUGCAAUUCUCCUUAGAUGAAUUUGGUUGGAAAACUAUUUUACAUUUGACAGUGCAGAAGUGGUGAAAUUUUUUGAUGGGAGAGCGAACUUUUUAUGCGUAUCUAUUAGAUUGUUUCACCUCUAGUUCAAGAUAACAAUACUUGCAAACAAAGUUUAUUUGCUUUUUUUUUUUUUUUAACAUGGGAAAAGACCACAAAUUACUUUAUAGCAAUGUGACUUGAAUCGACAAAGUGGAGUUUUCCAAACGAUCAAACCCUCUUUAUGUCUGUGACCUUCAUUUGCCAGAAAGUCGGCACAUUUCUUCUCCUUAGAUCAGAUGUAUAUAACGGUAGCUUUUGUGGUUUCCAACGAAUUUUAACGGUCUUCAAUAAUAACCCUAAAGGGUGAUGCUCUGUGUACUCUUUGAUAAGCUUGACAACAAAUAGACAGUUUGUUUCCAUUUUCCACCUCUAAUUCUUUAUACCCUAUUUCUCUUGCUACUGUUGGCCCUUGUUUGAUGUUCCAUGACUUUAUGUGGGGCUUGAAUUUGGCUUCGUAUUACCUGCAUAACUCAAUAUCUACUUUGUUUGUCUCUGGAAAUCCUUCCAAAUGCAGCAUCUCUUGUUUGACUCUUGACAUUGGUGUUAGUGGCAUUCUGUAGAUACGGCAAUGUUUGUAUUAGGAAGUUGUCUAAUUUUAUAAUCAGGUGGCAUGGUGCUAUGUACUCCUUUCGUUAAAGCCACUUCCUGUGCAUUUGCCUAGACACCAUCAUCGCAAAUUUAGCUAAAUAAUAUUGGGAAAACAAAAUAAUAAAAGAAAACUUAUGCAGAAGAAUAGAGCUGAUAUACCCAUAUCUUAUAGUAAUUUUGAAGUGGGUAUUCUAAUUCUUUAUAAAGAUAACACAAUAUGUGUCGUAUUUUGGUUUUGAUGAUUUACAAACAAGAAUGCAAGGGACCUGGUCCUUGCUGUGCUGAUUUAACAAUCAAAGGAAGCUUUGUACGGCUGUAAACUGUACUGUCUGUUUUGGCUAGUGGUGAUGCAGCUGGCGCGCUAACACCUGGACCAAUAGAGUGGCGCUAAGGUCUUACUCUCUCUUAUAAAAGGAAGAUGUGGCAUCAGCAAAACUUAGCUUUUGCAAUCAAAAGUUUACUCUCUGAAGCAAAAGCCUUUUUCAUCAGAUUACUGCUCACUUUCAACAAGGGACCUGAUAGAACAGCAGUUCAGAUUUUGUUGAUUUCUUGAGUUGUAGUCUUUUGUGCUUACCAUUGUAAACCUACUCCUAUGUUAUAAAGGAUUGUAGGUAUCAGUCUUGUCUAGGUCUUAGAUUGAGUCGUGUUAACUAGAGCUAGUUAUCGAUUCAGCUUUGGUUUAGUCAAGAUUUCUUCAUCAUGCCUUAUGUUAUUCUGGGUAGAGUUACCUAGGGAAUCAACUAGAGUUGGUUGAUUUGAAGGGUGCAAUAGGGUUGCUGCACAAAUCUUACUGGAAAUCCUGUGAGAUAGAUUGUGUUUUUCCCUCCCUUGUGCAAGGAGCUUUUCACG
RNAcentral lists this long non-coding RNA (1776 nucleotides) under Capsicum annuum. RNAcentral describes it as "long non-coding RNA (CANN_LNC016393)". The record is from RNAcentral. Lineage: Eukaryota; Viridiplantae; Streptophyta; Magnoliopsida; Solanales; Solanaceae.